Molecule: transfer RNA, 72 nt
Filed under: archaeon
Lineage: Archaea
Description: tRNA-Thr
Rfam family: tRNA
About the family: Transfer RNA (tRNA) molecules are approximately 80 nucleotides in length. Their secondary structure includes four short double-helical elements and three loops (D, anti-codon, and T loops).
Source: RNAcentral
GCCCCGGUGGCUUAGCGGUAUAGCACCUGACUUGUAAUCAGGAGGUCGGGAGUUCAAAUCUCCCCCGGGGCU